RNAcentral lists this ribosomal RNA (326 nucleotides) under uncultured Piloderma. RNAcentral describes it as "eukaryotic LSU rRNA". It matches the Rfam family "Eukaryotic large subunit ribosomal RNA", at positions 1 to 318 of the family's 3401-position model. Lineage: Eukaryota; Fungi; Basidiomycota; Agaricomycetes; Atheliales; Atheliaceae. The record is from RNAcentral.
UUGACCUCAAAUCAGGUAGGACUACCCGCUGAACUUAAGCAUAUCAAUAAGCGGAGGAAAAGAAACUAACAAGGAUUCCCCUAGUAACUGCGAGUGAAGCGGGAAAAGCUCAAAUUUAAAAUCUGGCGGUCUUGCGGCCGUCCGAGUUGUAAUCUGGAGAAGCGUUUAUCCGCGUCGGACCGUGUACAAGUCUUCUGGAAGGGAGCGUCGUAGAGGGUGAGAAUCCCGUCUUUGACACGGACAACCGGUGCUUUCGUGAUGCGCUCUCGAGAGUCGAGUUGUUUGGGAAUGCAGCUCAAAUGGGUGGUAAAUUCCAUCUAAAGCUU